Orcinus orca (killer whale) is the source of this 486-nucleotide long non-coding RNA. RefSeq lists it as uncharacterized. The transcript has 2 exons. The record is from RefSeq and is a predicted model, not a curated record. Lineage: Eukaryota; Metazoa; Chordata; Mammalia; Artiodactyla; Delphinidae.
UAUGUUCAUAGCAGCACUAUUCACAAUAGCCAAGACAUGGAAACAACCUAAAUGUCCAUCGACAGAUGAAUGGAUAAAGAAGAUGUGGUACAUAUACACAAUGGAAUACUACUCAGCCAUAAAAAAGAACAAAAUAAUGCCAUUUGCAGCAACAUGGACGCAACUUGAGAUUAUCCUACUAAAUCAAGGGACAUGGGUUCGACCCCUGGUUGGGGAACUAAGAUCCCACAUGCCACGGAGCAACUAAUCCCGCAGAGUGCAACUACUGAGCCCACGUGUUCUGGAGCCCAUGCACCACAACUAGAGAGCCCAUGCAGUCUGGAGCCUGUGGGCCACAACUAGAGAGAAGCCCGCAUGCCACAAUGAAAGAUCCCGCAUGCCACAACGAAGAUCCCGCAUGCUGCAGCUAAGACCUGACAUAGCCCCAAACAACAACAACAAAAAUCCUAUGAUAAACCAUAAUGGAAAAGAACAUUAAAAAAAGAA